GUUGUAUAGUCAAGUAAUUAAGUGCAUGUGGUGGAUGCCUUGGCAGUCAGAGGCGAUGAAAGACGUAAUAGCCUGCGAUAAGCUCCGGGGAGGCGGCAAAUAUCCUGUGAUCCGGAGAUUUCUGAAUGGGGAAACCCACCUGUCAUAAGGCAGGUAUCGUAUGAUGAAUACAUAGUCAUACGAGGCGAACGAGGGGAAGUGAAACAUCUCAGUACCCUUAGGAAAAGAAAUCAAUUGAGAUUCCCUUAGUAGCGGCGAGCGAACGGGGAAAAGCCCAUUAAGUCAUAUAAGUUUUAGUGGAAUGCUCUGGGAAGUGCAACCAUAGUGGGUGAUAGUCCUGUACACGAAAGGGCUGAUAUGAUGAUGUCGAGUAGGGCGGGGCACGUGAAACCUUGUCUGAAUAUGGGGGGACCAUCCUCCAAGGCUAAAUACUCCUGACUGACCGAUAGUGAACCAGUACCGUGAGGGAAAGGCGAAAAGAACCCCUGUGAGGGGAGUGAAAUAGAUCCUGAAACCGCAUGCAUACAAGCAGUGGGAGCCGACAUGUUCGGUGACUGCGUACCUUUUGUAUAAUGGGUCAGCGACUUACAUUCAGUAGCGAGGUUAACCGCAUAGGGGAGCCGUAGAGAAAUCGAGUCUUAAUAGGGCGUUUAGUUGCUGGGUGUAGACCCGAAACCGGGUGAUCUAUCCAUGAGCAGGUUGAAGGUUGGGUAACACUAACUGGAGGACCGAACCCACUGUCGUUGAAAAGCCAGGGGAUGACUUGUGGAUAGGGGUGAAAGGCUAAUCAAACUCGGUGAUAGCUGGUUCUCCCCGAAAGCUAUUUAGGUAGCGCCUCGGACGAAUACCAUUGGGGGUAGAGCACUGUUUCGGCUAGGGGGUCAUCCCGACUUACCAAACCGAUGCAAACUCCGAAUACCAAUGAGUACUAUCCGGGAGACAGACUGCGGGUGCUAACGUCCGUAGUCAAGAGGAAAACAAUCCAGACCGCCAGCUAAGGCCCCAAAAUUAUAGUUAAGUGGGAAACGAUGUGGGAAGGCAUAGACAGCUAGGAGGUUGGCUUAGAAGCAGCCACCCUUUAAAGAAAGCGUAAUAGCUCACUAGUCGAGUCGGCCUGCGCGGAAGAUGUAACGGGGCUAAAACUAUAUGCCGAAGCUGCGGAUUUGCAAUUUAUUGCAAGUGGUAGGGGAGCGUUCUGUAAGCCGAUGAAGGUGUAUUGAGAAGUAUGCUGGAGGUAUCAGAAGUGCGAAUGCUGACGUGAGUAACGACAAUGCGAGUGAAAAACUCGCACGCUGAAAGACCAAGGGUUCCAGUCCAACGUUAAUCGGGGCUGGGUGAGUCGACCCCUAAGGCGAGGCCGAGAGGCGUAGUCGAUGGGAAAUUGGUUAAUAUUCCAAUACUUCUGUGUAAUGCGAUGAGAGGACGGAGAAGGUUAAGUCAGCCUGGCGUUGGUUGUCCAGGUGGAAGGUUGUAGGCAUGCAUCUUAGGCAAAUCCGGGGUGCUCUAUGCUGAGAACUGAUAGCAAGCUGUACUUGUACAGUGAAGUGGCUGAUACCAUGCUUCCAGGAAAAGUCUCUAAGCUUCAGUUACACAGGAAUCGUACCCGAAACCGACACAGGUGGUCAGGUCGAGUAGACCAAAGCGCUUGAGAGAACUCUGCUGAAGGAACUAGGCAAAAUGGUACCGUAACUUCGGGAGAAGGUACGCUGCCGACG
RNAcentral lists this ribosomal RNA (1715 nucleotides) under Kaistia algarum. Its description in RNAcentral is "bacterial LSU rRNA". It matches the Rfam family "Bacterial large subunit ribosomal RNA", at positions 1 to 1759 of the family's 2925-position model. The record is from RNAcentral. Lineage: Bacteria; Pseudomonadati; Pseudomonadota; Alphaproteobacteria; Hyphomicrobiales; Kaistiaceae.